CCCAGUACCACAAAAAUAAAUAAAUGAAUGAAUGAAUAGAAUAAAAGUAAACAAAACUGACUGGGAGCCACAUAGGUAAGGCAGGUCCACCUGCGGCACUUCCCCUUGAGGUGUGGAGGAAGCCCGCCCAGACACUGCCUGGCUGUCCCCCAAAAUUCAACUCAGCUUGCAGACCCAGCAAGGGUCUGUGGUCCAGGAUGGCGCUGAAACCUCUUCUAAAACUGUGGGUGUUUUCUUGCCAUACAACUUCAGGAAGUCAUAAAUUCUGUCCUAUUUUCCCUUUAUUUACAUACCUAUUUUCCUUUUUAAAACACUCUAAUAAAAACUCACUAAUCCAGAGCCCUCUAUUACCCGUAUUACAGUUAAGAACUAGGAUGUGAAUGGCGACCAAAAAAAGCCCGUGUGGCCUAGAGUGGUCCCAAAGCUCACACCCAGGACCCCUAGGAGGGUCUUAUGUUACAUUCAGAUCAGAAAAGCCUUCCUACUGGUCAGAGUCUCAGCAGGAAACAGAUGCACACCCCUCAGGUCAGGAGGAGAGUUUAGGGACGGGACUGUUUACAAUGGGUAGGCGGGAAGAGAAAUCCAUGCGCCAAGGCCCAGCAGCAGGAAGCGGUGACGGUGAUGCUCUGGCGGAGGAGCACAGAGGUUAAGGCUGGAAAGGGCGCCUGGCAGAGGUUGUGGUUUGAGGGUGAAGAAUACAGACGCUGCAGACCCGAAGCCUAGCGAGGGGAGGAGCUGGGGUAUUAAGUGCCCCAAGACCAGUCUCUUCCACCCUCCAAUCGUGGCAAGAUUCUCAACUGGCCAGACCCAGGAGAAAACCUGAGGACACGAUUGUGGCUCAUGCGCUCCGCCAAGGUACAUGGGAUCAUGGGAUGAGAGGCAGCCAGAGCCAGAGAUAGCCAGAAGAAAGGUCUCAAGAAUCCCAACGCAGUGACCAGGUCCGCAGCAUGGAGACCGAGACUCUCCCUGGUUUGACCAUUCCAAGAAAAUGAAAUGUGGAGGAGUACAAGAGAUCUGUACACACACUAGAAACCCAAAGAAUCCAGCCGAUGGCCUGGAUCCCACAGCAGUGGCCCAGCUAAAGGCCUAGAGCCCACGGCAGUGUCUCAUGCUUGUCCAUAUCAGAGAUCUGUACCGGCAAGCCACAAAGGCCACUGGAAGCUAGAAAGCCUGAACUGGUGAGGUGAAGGAUCAGUGCCACCAGGCUGAGGGAUCUGCACUGGAGCCAGGAAGUGAUUCUCCAGGUAAAGACCAGAGCUCUCCUGCUGAGAACAGUAGCCAUUCCUAGCGCCAGCGAGACCCCAAGCACCUCCUUCUAUGAGAGCAGCCAAGUUUGCAUCAGGAAAACCAGCCACGGUAAGCUCCCCACCCUGCCCCGUGCCCCAAAAAUCAACAGCACACGAUCUUCCCCUCCAGUUCUUUUUCUGCCAUUGGCAACAAUCCUCAGGUGGGUCUUGCACACCCAGAACCACCCUGAUUCAGUUCAGCUGAGCAUUCCAACUUGACCGUUAGUUAAUCCACCACAACUAUCAUGAACAGAAAUGAAUUCCUGAUUUCUUUCUUGAUGGAUUCAUUAUUGGUGUAUAGAAACACUAUUUGUAUGUUGAUUUUGUAUCCUGGCAUUUUGCUGAAUUUGUUUAUCAGGUCUAAAACUCCUCUACUAGAGUUUUUUUGGGGGGUCUUCUAUGUAAAUAAUUAUAUCAUCUGCAAAGAGGAAUUGUUUAACUUGCUUUCCUAUUCGUACCCCUUUUAUUGCUUUCUCUUAAACCUGCUUGCUCUCACUGAAGUUUCCAGUACACAAACACUGAGGAGGACUGUCGAGAGUGGACACUGUAGGAACCAGCCUAUGAGCUUGAACCUGACCAAGGGGUGACGAGGAUGAAAAAUAAGGAGACGCAGGGCUGGGGAUUUAGCUCAGUGGUUUCGCCGCCUGAUGUGCAAGCAAAAGGAUCUGGGUUCAAUCCCUGGCACCAAAAAAAAAAGGAGACACAGAAACAGGUUAAAAUUUGGAGUGCCAGGAGGCUCAUGUCUCCCCUCCACAUAGAGCCCCAAGUGCCUGGUGCAUGUUGGCUUUAUUCGCUCAACUCAGUCAGAGCCAUUAGAGUUCCACAGGCCGCAUCUGUCUGUCUCCGCCCUCCACGGUGCUUCUCCGGGUGAACACCUCAACCUCAGGUGUUCUUACUUCCCCUGCAGCGUGUGAGCACGCUCACACGCCCUCUCUCUCCUCAGGGAUCUCCGAGCAGGCCAGUUAGGCCUCCUUCUUCCCAUCUGGUCUCCACAGGACACCCGCUCCUCUUUCAUUUAAGAAAAAGCUUUGUUUUCUCCACUUAAUAUGACAUUGGCUGUGGGUCUGUCAUAGUUUGUACAGAAGAAUCCUAUGCUUGAAAGAUUCUAAUAAAUUCAAACAAAAACAACCCUAGAUCCUCUCUGCCAAGGCUGCUGUGGCUUCAGAGUGCUAGGCAGGGGGCCUGGAGGGAACCAGGAAAGAGGAGCAGGACGCUGUCCUGUGGGCCCACACUGGGCUUUCCCAAGGCUGCAAACUCUGGCACCUGAAGAAAAGAAAGGACAGUAAAUGAUUAAACAGCGCUGGGGGAUGGCCUUUGAGGUGAGGAAGGCAACAUCUGCAGGGAGCUCCUCAGAGGAACCCCAGCCGGCUGCAGGCCGCAGGCAGACGGUGGCAGCACGGCCUCCAGCAGGGGCAUUGUCCACUCAGGCAUGUCCUUCUCACUCAGCCUGCUAAUGCUUCUAUGCUGGCAGAGGCCCCAGUGUUUUUUCCAUCUCUUCUCAAAACCUUAUAUAAACCAUUCACUCAUUUUCAUUGA
Heterocephalus glaber (naked mole-rat) is the source of this 2822-nucleotide non-coding RNA. Lineage: Eukaryota; Metazoa; Chordata; Mammalia; Rodentia; Bathyergidae. The record is from RefSeq and is a predicted model, not a curated record.